This 27-nucleotide small RNA is filed under the name Bombyx mori (domestic silkworm). Its description in RNAcentral is "ovarian small RNA-24228". The record is from RNAcentral. Lineage: Eukaryota; Metazoa; Arthropoda; Insecta; Lepidoptera; Bombycidae.
UAUUGCAGGCAAUCAACGUAGGUACUC